UACGGAGGGUGCAAGCGUUAUCCGGAUUCACUGGGUUUAAAGGGUGCGUAGGCGGGCAUUUAAGUCUGAUGUGAAAGCCCGGGGCUCACCCCCGGAAGUGCAUUGGAAACUGAUGGACUCGAGUCCCGGAGAGGAGAGUGGAAUUCCUGGUGUAGCGGUGAAAUGCGUAGAUAUCAGGAGGAACACCGGUGGCGAAGGCGGCUCUCUGGACGGUGACUGACGCUGAGACGCGAAAGCGUGGGGAGCAAACAGG
RNAcentral lists this ribosomal RNA (253 nucleotides) under uncultured bacterium. Its description in RNAcentral is "partial 16S ribosomal RNA". It matches the Rfam family "Bacterial small subunit ribosomal RNA", at positions 524 to 776 of the family's 1533-position model. The record is from RNAcentral.